Molecule: ribosomal RNA, 468 nt
Filed under: uncultured bacterium
Lineage: Bacteria
Description: partial 16S ribosomal RNA
Rfam family: Bacterial small subunit ribosomal RNA
Source: RNAcentral
GACGAACGCUGGCGGCGUGCUUAACACAUGCAAGUCGAACGGAAAGGCCCUGCUUUUGUGGGGUGCUCGAGUGGCGAACGGGUGAGUAACACGUGAGUAACCUGCCCUUGACUUUGGGAUAACUUCAGGAAACUGGGGCUAAUACCGGAUAGGAGCUCCUGCUGCAUGGUGGGGGUUGGAAAGUUUCGGCGGUUGGGGAUGGACUCGCGGCUUAUCAGCUUGUUGGUGGGGUAGUGGCUUACCAAGGCUUUGACGGGUAGCCGGCCUGAGAGGGUGACCGGCCACAUUGGGACUGAGAUACGGCCCAGACUCCUACGGGAGGCAGCAGUGGGGAAUAUUGCACAAUGGGCGGAAGCCUGGUGCAGCAACGCCGCGUGCGGGAUGACGGCCUUCAGGUUGUAAACCGCUUUCGCCUGUGACGAAGCGUGAGUGACGGUAAUGGGUAAAGAAGCACCGGCUAACUACGUG